CAGUAGAACAACAAGUAGCGGAGGUAGCUGCUACUGAAAACAUUGCCACCGGAAACCUGCCGAACUCCGAGAAAAAAAUGCCGAGUAUAAUUCAAAACCAAUAAAGAUGUCGCUAAAGACGACCUUCCCUUUUCCCAUAUUCGCGCCACAAGUUCCUUCUCACCGACCGGCGACCGAAGUUCGUUUCUCCCGCUGGAACAACGCCAACGCUGAGAGGUUCCUCCGCCGUGAACGCGCCCAGAAAGAAAUCGAAGAUGAAAUCCGCCGGGAGAGACGUUUUGACUCAGCCUCAAGAAUUGCUGAUGAUUACGAUAACGAGGCCACCAACACCUCCAUCAUCGCUACCACCACGGGCAAUGAAAACUUUAAGUCCAUCGGAACGCCUUCCUCUCCUUCUCGUUCAUCUAUUCCUGGAAAAGCUUCGAAGUACUCCAAAAACCCUAAUUCUGACUCCAAAUUCUCGCACCCGGCGUUCCGUCGAGUUUCAAAGGUUUCCAGGCUUCCUAGGGUUCCUCCGGAGACUGAAACCGGUGUCACCGUUGGGGAAAACGGAGUUUCGUAUACAUUCCCAAAUGCGCCGUUUGAAUUUCAGUACAGUUAUACUGAGACACCAAAGGUGAAGCCAUUAGCGCUGCGUGAGCCACCAUUUGUGCCAUUUGGACCAAGCACAAUGCCUCGGCCUUGGACUGGAAGAAAGCCGCUUCCUCCGAGCAAGAAGAAGCUGCCUGAGUUUGACUCAUUUCGGUUGCCGCCACCACAUAAGAAAGGGGUGAAACCGGUACAGUCACCGGGGCCUUUUUUGGCGGGCUCAGGGCCGAAGUAUGUGAGGUCGAGGGAGGAUAUUUUGGGGGAGCCUUUGACGGAGGAAGAGAUUAAGGAUCUUGUUCAGGGAUGCUUAAAGUCAAAGAGGCAAUUGAAUAUGGGUAGAGAUGGAUUAACACACAACAUGUUGGAUAACAUUCAUGCUCACUGGAAGCGGCGGAGAGUAUGCAAGAUAAAAUGCAAAGGAGUCUGCACAGUUGACAUGGACAAUGUCCGCCAACAGUUAGAGGAGAAAACAGGAGGGAGGAUCAUCUACAGUAGAGGAGGGGUUCUACUCCUAUUCCGUGGCAGAAAUUACAACUACAGGACUCGCCCUCGAUUUCCUCUUAUGCUUUGGAAACCUGUUACCCCAGUGUAUCCAAGAUUGAUUCAGCGUGUUCCAGAAGGUCUGACACUGGAGGAAGCAAGUGAAAUGCGCAAGAAAGGGUGGAAUUUACCACCAAUAUGUAAACUUGGAAAAAAUGGUGUAUAUUCUGACCUUGCUAAAAAUGUCAGAGAAGCAUUUGAAGAGUGUGAGUUGGUUAGAAUAAAUUGCCAGGGAAUGAAUAAAAGCGACUACCAGAAAAUAGGUGCUAAACUCAAGGACCUUGUCCCAUGCGUCUUGAUCUCAUUUGAAAAUGAACACAUUCUUAUGUGGAGGGGAAGGGAUUGGAAAUCCUCCCUUGUGAAUCCAGAAGAUGAUUCUGAGGAAGCUAGGCAAUCUGAAAAAGAUUGUGUUACUGCCACUCCACCUAGUAAUGAUAGUGUGCUGCUUGGAGAACAUCAGGAGACAUUAGAUUUAUGUGAUUCAGAAAGCUCAAACAUGGAUGCAAGUUGCAAUGUUCCUAUUAAUAGCACAUGCUCUUUGAGUAGUGGAGGUGCAAACUUAGAAGGGAAGGAUGGUUUAUCAUUCAAUACUGAAAGGAAUGUGCAGCCAUCUGAAGCUACAAAUGUUGGUGUCACUAUGAAGAAUAUCUCUGGAUCUGGGACUGUAUCAGAUAACAAGGCAGGCACUGCUGAUGAAUCACUGGCCGCACCGUUGGUUUGCAAUGCUCUGAAUACUAACAAUUCUGAAACCAAAUUGGACAGCAUAUGGAAUAAUGAUGAUGAUUCAGAAGCUGUGUCAAUGGGCAAGACAACACUGGAAAAUCUACAAGAAGGCUCAGAAUGUUUAAGUGAGCUGGAAAGUCCCACUACGAAUUGUACAGAUGGAGUAAUAUUACUUUUGAAUCAAGCUAUUGAGAAUGGAAGUGCAGUUAUUUUGGACAGUGCCUCUUUAGAUGCUGAUAUCAUUUAUGAAAGAUCAAUUGCCCUUGCUAAGACUGCUCCCCGUGGGCCUAUUUUCAAGCACAGACCACGUAAGGUCUUCGUUCAAAAGGGGGACAAGCAAGAGACUGGAAAUUCCGAGGUUGAAGAGGCUGUAGCAGUUUUAGAGAAGAAAGGAAAUGUAGAGAAAAAUACCAGACAUCAAAGAACAAAAGGUCUAAAAGGAGUUUAUUCUGAAGUAGUGCCACACGGGAGUCUUGGAGUAGAUGAAAUCGCAAAGUUAUUAGCUUAGCAUUUAAGGCUGAUUAUAUAUUUUUUGAAGUCCUGUCUUUGGAUAAUAAUCCAUUCAACUUGAGAACUAGAUGACUUCCUAGGUUCAUUUCUGUGCAGUUGCUGAUUCUGUGGCUGAGUAUUCAGAAUGGUGGAAGAUGACCGGACCAAUAGAUGUAAUUGGGAACCUUUAUUCACUGACACAGAUAUAGCUACAUGAAAAUGAAUUCACUGGGAUGAUUACAGAGAUCAUUGGACAAUUGUUUUCUUUGACAGAUCUCAAACUCAACUGUAAUCAACAUGUGUGUGAUUGCCACGAGCACGAAAGUAUGCAACUUCAGAAUUUAGAUUUCAACAAUAACAUGUUGAUGAGUCCAAUGCCAGACUUAUGUUUUAAUAAUUUCAGUUAUGAUGGAAAUUUUUUGUCUUUGACUGUCUUAAAAUAUUUGAAACAUUCUUAACUUCUAUUGCUAAAUUUAAUGAAAGUGUGAAGGUUGUUUCAGAUGGAAAUCCUCUAUUUCAACAGUAACCAAUUUGCCACACCUUCCUCGGUUUAGUAAUUCAUUGUCAUCAGGGACUUUGUGUUCUCCAUCCAGCAACCCUUGUCCAACCAAGGGCUCAGAAUCUAAUUCUGAUGUUCCCAGUGAAGAAUAAUCCAAGCCAACAGGUUUAUGGCGAACUUAAUCCUGGUAUUAAGUUUUCAAGAAGAAAAUAUUACAGACAUAAGGGUUCUCUUACUGUUUCUCCCAUGCAAAGCUAUUUGAAAUUUUGAAUCAUAGAAAAGAAGGCAUUGGUAAUGAAAGCUUCAAGAAUGCAAGGGAUUUACCAGAUAUUAUUCAUGAUUUGGAAACUGACAAGUGUGAGUUUUGUAUCAUAGCAUGGCAUGAGAACAAUGGUGGCAUGCAGUAUUUUUGUGGUGUCCAUUAGCAAGGAACUUACACGCCACCAGUACUGUAUAUGUGAUCAAUCCAGUUAUGAUCCAAAAAAACGGUAAAAAACUAAGACUGGAGACCAAUCUUAUAAUAUUAGGGUUUGUAUGACCAACACGAUCUCAAAUCAUUCUAGCCUUAUUCAACCAAUUGAUGUCAGAAUAUCUUAAAAAAUAAAGUAAAUUAAAUACCAGGAUUACAUUUC
Nelumbo nucifera (sacred lotus) is the source of this 3471-nucleotide non-coding RNA. Lineage: Eukaryota; Viridiplantae; Streptophyta; Magnoliopsida; Proteales; Nelumbonaceae. The record is from RefSeq and is a predicted model, not a curated record.